Molecule: ribosomal RNA, 433 nt
Filed under: uncultured bacterium
Lineage: Bacteria
Description: partial 16S ribosomal RNA
Rfam family: Bacterial small subunit ribosomal RNA
Source: RNAcentral
AACGAACGCUGGCGGCAGGCCUAACACAUGCAAGUCGAGCGAGUAUUUCGGUGCUAGCGGCGGACGGGUGGGUAACGCGUGGGGACGUGCCCAUUUCUGCGGAAUAGACCGGGGAAACAGGGGGUAAUACCGCAUAUGCUCUUGUGGGGAAAGAUUGAUCGGAGGAGGAUGGGCUUGGGUGGGAUUAGGUAGUUGGUGGGGUAAUGGCCCACCACGACGACGAUCCAUAGCUUGUUUGAGAGGAAGAUCAGCCACACUGGGACUUAGACACGGCCCCGACUCCUACGGGAGGCAGCAGAGGGGGAUCUUAGACAAUGGGGGCAACCCUGAUCGUGCCAUGCCGCGGAAGUAAUGAAGGCCUUAAGGUAGGAAAGCACUUUCAGCUGGGAAUAUAAUGACGGUACCAGCAGAAGAAGCCCCGGCUAACUCCGUG